CUAAUACAUGCAAGUCGAACGAACUCUGGUAUUGAUUGGUGCUUGCAUCAUGAUUUACAUUUGAGUGAGUGGCGAACUGGUGAGUAACACGUGGGAAACCUGCCCAGAAGCGGGGGAUAACACCUGGAAACAGAUGCUAAUACCGCAUAACAACUUGGACCGCAUGGUCCGAGCUUGAAAGAUGGCUUCGGCUAUCACUUUUGGAUGGUCCCGCGGCGUAUUAGCUAGAUGGUGGGGUAACGGCUCACCAUGGCAAUGAUACGUAGCCGACNUGAGAGGGUAAUCGGCCNCAUUGGGACUGAGACACGGCCCAAACUCCUACGGGAGGCAGCAGUAGGGAAUCUUCCACAAUGGACGAAAGUCUGAUGGAGCAACGCCGCGUGAGUGAAGAAGGGUUUCGGCUCGUAAAACUCUGUUGUUAAAGAAGAACAUAUCUGAGAGUAACUGUUCAGGUAUUGACGGUAUUUAACCAGAAAGCCACGGCUAACUACGUGCCAGCAGCCGCGGUAAUACGUAGGUGGCAAGCGUUGUCCGGAUUUAUUGGGCGUAAAGCGAGCGCAG
Molecule: ribosomal RNA, 561 nt
Filed under: Lactiplantibacillus plantarum
Lineage: Bacteria; Bacillati; Bacillota; Bacilli; Lactobacillales; Lactobacillaceae
Description: bacterial SSU rRNA
Rfam family: Bacterial small subunit ribosomal RNA
Source: RNAcentral